UGACGGUAUCAUAUGAAUAAGCACCGGCUAACUCCGUGCCAGCAGCCGCGGUAAUACGGGGGGUGCAAGCGUUACUCGGAAUCACUGGGCGUAAAGAGCAUGUAGGCGGGUGAAUAAGUUGGAAGUGAAAUCCUAUAGCUUAACUAUAGAAUUGCUUCCAAAACUGUUCACCUAGAGUAUGGGAGAGGUAGAUGGAAUUUCUGGUGUAGGGGUAAAAUCCGUAGAGAUCAGAAGGAAUACCGAUUGCGAAGGCGAUCUACUGGAACAUUACUGACGCUCAGAUGCGAAAGCGUGGGGAGCAAACAGGAUUAGAUACCCUGGUAGUCCACGCCCUAAACGAUGUACACUAGUUGUUGCUAUACUAGAUAUGGCAGUAAUGCAGUUAACACUUUAAGUGUACCGCCUGGGGAGUACGGUCGCAAGAUUAAAACUCAAAGGAAUAGACGGGGACCCGCACAAGCGGUGGAGCAUGUGGUUUAAUUCGACGAUACGCGAAAAACCUUACCUGGCCUUGACAUAGUAGGAAUCUUUAAGAGAUUAGAGAGUGCUAGCUUGCUAGAACCUACAUACAGGUGCUGCACGGCUGUCGUCAGC
RNAcentral lists this ribosomal RNA (594 nucleotides) under uncultured bacterium. RNAcentral describes it as "bacterial SSU rRNA". It matches the Rfam family "Bacterial small subunit ribosomal RNA", at positions 470 to 1059 of the family's 1533-position model. The record is from RNAcentral.